AGGCUCAACAGAGAGAGGAGGCAUACGAACUUCAGAUUCGUUCUGUCACAGGCAAACUGAAGGAGGCUGAGGCCCGCGCUGAAUUCGCUGAGAGGUCUGUCCAGAAGCUCCAGAAGGAAGUCGACAGGCUCGAGGAUGCAUUGGGUUCUGAGCGCGAGAAAUGCGCCUCACUGCAGAAUGACGUGGAGUUAACUCUGAAGGAUCUGCAGUCGAUGUAAACAUUCUCGCUCCACCCGCCAACGCAUUUUAGAUCAGCGAAUCUUCUCCAAGACAACAAGAGCGUUGCCGCCGCCACUGCCGUGACGAACGUGUGCAAGAGUGGACAUCACAACCGCCCCCAACUUUCAACUUUUGCUAGCCAGACAGAACACGCAAGAGUCUUCGACAUUCAUUCCACAACUGCAAUUUUGCACCUUCCCCUCUCAUACAUUCUAUACAUACAGGAGGAAACUAAUAUAGUUACCUAAAUAUACAAAUCAAUAUUAUCGGAGUCGGAGGAACACCAGCGACCGAGCGAGUAUACAGAGAAUCUAUCUAUUCAACCAGAAGAAAACUUUAUCUAAGCAACACAAGACAAUACAUUCGGUGCGAGUCAGACCAACAGGUUCUUAUUCAGACAGACAGACAGACAGACAGAUAGGAUAGAAUUUCUCGUGCUUGAUGAAUCCCAAAAAGUGGUAUCAGUGGAGAAAUCGAAUUCUCUCCUCGUGGAGUUUGCUGUAAUUCAUUGCCGAUCGUUUGAUUGAGUGGUUCUCCGCUGCCACGUUUCAUCUGCUUUCUAUAACGUAUUUAAACAGACGAACUGGUUCAAGAGAAAGAGAAGUACAAGAGCAUCUCGGACGAGCUCGACCAAACCUUCGCCGAGCUCACCGGAUACUAAACCGGAUAAUCCCGCUCGGAAGAAGUUCAGUUGGAAGUUCCACCACCGCAGCUUCUUCCCUUCGGGCCUGCUGUCCUUCAUCCCCGCUAUUUUAUUUCUAUAUAUGUGGUUUACCAACGAUAUUCAAUCCAUGCUGCUCUACCAAACAACCUGCAAACAAACAGUCAGCCAGCCAACCAACCUACAAACCACCUCAGUCAGUCCGCAAGCAGGGAAACAACAUCCGUCGUUCCGGCAUCGUGGUUCCGUUGACUCAUGGAUCAUCUGCAGCGAGCUUGAAAAGUCGGGGGUGUCGCGAGUGCGAGCAGCCAGCCAACCAGCGCAUCUCGUUCGCUUAUUCUUCUCUCGUCAAGUGUAUUGAUUAUCAUUGGUCGCAUUGUUCAGAUCGCUGGUCCUAUCGUUUGGAAGCACAAACGUUGUUCCGGCAUCAGGGAUAUCCCCUAUUUCCUUCUUGCUGUUGUGGUUGUUAAUGAAAGCGUCGGGGGCGCUGAUCGGCCAGCUGACAGCCGCUGCGCGAGCACCCGAUUUUUGAGGGGCCUCAAUCUGUCUCGUCCGAAGUGAGUCGAUGUCUGCGUUGAGCUGAGGUUUAUACUGAGAGAGCUGCAGGACUCCUUGAAUGAAUGAAGGCAACAACAAACUAAAACGCGAAAAUGAGGAAAAAACCAACACCUGUAACAAAAAAAAGCUGUGUGAGACAGACUGCCGCAAUCGUUGGAAUGAGGAUCCUCCAGGUGAUCGGAGCUGCAUAUCGAGUUCAACGACUGUCGCCGUGCUGUCUGCUGUUACGACUGUGAAAAAUUCAGAAGAGACGGAGAUCGAGGCUAAAGCAAGCAGAUAAAUAAAACAUAGAAACUCGAUCGCAUAAAGCA
Galendromus occidentalis (western predatory mite) is the source of this 1749-nucleotide long non-coding RNA. RefSeq lists it as uncharacterized. NCBI's taxonomy places the organism in Eukaryota, Metazoa, Arthropoda, Arachnida, Mesostigmata, Phytoseiidae. The record is from RefSeq and is a predicted model, not a curated record. The transcript is spliced from 4 exons.